RNAcentral lists this long non-coding RNA (808 nucleotides) under Coturnix japonica (Japanese quail). RNAcentral's name for it is "lncRNA (ENSCJPG00005013588.1)". The record is from RNAcentral. Lineage: Eukaryota; Metazoa; Chordata; Aves; Galliformes; Phasianidae.
GAAUCACUUUACUGCUGUGUUUGGCAUGGGCACAACUGCUUUGGGAAAAAGUCAUCCAGCUGUGGUACCCACAAUUAAAGAAGGAUGUUGAAAAAUUGGAGAUAUUUCAGAGAAGAGCCACAAGAAUGACCAAAGGAUUGGAAAACAUGCCUUAGCAGUGGAACCCAUCUGCUUAGCUUACCAAGCAGCAAGAAAAGAUUGAGUACUGCUUUCAAGCAAGUUUUAUAAGGAACGGAUGCAGCACACAGCAUUUCAGCACAGAGGUAGUGCCUAUGGCAGCAUUGGGAAGAAUCCAUGAGACAGCAGUGUCAAACUCUCUGCACUGGCUUUCUGGCAAGGGAUCAUUCCUUGAGCACAUUUUUUCAUGGUAUUUUCAUCUGUAAUGCCUGCCUCAAGGCAAAGCAUUUUCUAUUUGGGCUGCAGGAGUGCGUGUUGAAGUGUUGGAAGAGGCAGGACAAGAAAGCUGCUAUGUUGCUUAGGUAGUUGUUCUUAGAAAAGCAUCGUUGGCAAACUAGCACAAUAAUUUUGCAAAAGAGAAAAAGAAACUUGCCCAGGAAACAGAAUUUUGCUGACAAGGCGUGAAGAAAUAUCUGCUUUUAUUUAACUCUGUUCUCUGGAGAGAUUCAGCAUUUUGCUAUGUAGCUCUUUUCAUACCAAGCUAACUUUUAAAGUAUAGACAGUUUCUCAGCCAACAUACUUUUUAAAGGUGCAAUACUGCUCUAUUUUCUGAAGCUGUUUGAAUCUUGUUUGACAUAUUGCAUUUGUUAUUGCUUCUGGCUCACUGUGAGGGGCUGGGCUUCAAGGUCUG